GAGGUAGAUAGGUUCGAGGUGGAAGUGUGGUGACACAUGGAGCUGACGAAUACUAAUCGAUCGAGGACUUAACCAAA
This 77-nucleotide ribosomal RNA is filed under the name Lysinibacillus sp. BW-2-10. RNAcentral describes it as "partial 23S ribosomal RNA". The record is from RNAcentral. Lineage: Bacteria; Bacillati; Bacillota; Bacilli; Caryophanales; Bacillaceae.